This 438-nucleotide ribosomal RNA is filed under the name Triticum aestivum (bread wheat). Its description in RNAcentral is "partial small subunit ribosomal RNA". The record is from RNAcentral. Lineage: Eukaryota; Viridiplantae; Streptophyta; Magnoliopsida; Poales; Poaceae.
UGUGGUCCAAUGAAUAUUGAGGCUCGUGGCGGAUAUCGUUAUUUUCUCACCUUCACAGACGACUUAAGUAGAUAUGGGUAUAUCUACUUAAUGAAACACAAGUCUGAAACAUUUGAAAAGUUCAAAGAAUUUCAGAGUGAAGUUGAAAAUCAUCGUAACAAGAAAAUAAAGUUUCUACGAUCUGAUCGUGGAGGAGAAUAUUUGAGUUACGAGUUUGGUGUACAUUUGAAACAAUGCGGAAUAGUUUCGCAACUCACGCCACCCGGAACACCACAGCGUAAUGGUAUGUCUGAACGUCGUAAUCAUACUUUACUAGAUAUGGUGCGAUCUAUGAUGUCUCUUACUGAUUUACCGCUAUCGUUUUGGGGUUAUGCUUUAGAGACGGCCGCAUUCACGUUAAAUAGGGCACCAUCAAAAUCCAUUGAGACGACGCCUUAU